Molecule: small nuclear RNA, 107 nt
Organism: Tupaia belangeri (northern tree shrew)
Lineage: Eukaryota; Metazoa; Chordata; Mammalia; Scandentia; Tupaiidae
Source: Ensembl
GUGUUUGUUUUGGCAGCACAUAUACUAAAAUUGGAAUGAUACAGAGAAGAUUAGCAUGGCCCUCGCGAAAGGAUGACAUGAAAAUUCGUGAAAUAUAAUCAGUUGUU